This 347-nucleotide long non-coding RNA is filed under the name Vigna radiata. RNAcentral describes it as "long non-coding RNA (VRAD_LNC012316)". Lineage: Eukaryota; Viridiplantae; Streptophyta; Magnoliopsida; Fabales; Fabaceae. The record is from RNAcentral.
CUGGGAUAACAAGAAAAAUUGGAUUUUCUGGAAUACAAAAUCCUUGAGUUAAGAGAGUUUAAAUUAUUAUUCAAAGUUCAAGCAAACUCUCUUUUUAACCAAUCUCAGUCAUUCCCAACUUCUUCCCUUUUUCCUUUUUGCAUUGAGUUCACUUUGCAUGCUUUUUCUUUUCUUCUUUUCUUUUCUUUCUCAUGCAUUUUUCUUUUUUUUUUAACUUUUGAGCUCAAUGUUUUUCUUUUUAUUUUGCCUUUCACUUUCCCCAUACAACCCCAAAUUUGAACCUUUUUCAACACAUACAAUUAUUCUCAACCAAAUUCAAACAAGGGUUUUCAUAAUGUUUAAGGCCA